RNAcentral lists this ribosomal RNA (496 nucleotides) under uncultured bacterium. RNAcentral's name for it is "partial 16S ribosomal RNA". It matches the Rfam family "Bacterial small subunit ribosomal RNA", at positions 29 to 507 of the family's 1533-position model. The record is from RNAcentral.
AUGAACGCUGGCGGCGUGCCUAAUACAUGCAAGUCGAGCGAACAGACGAGGAGCUUGCUCCUUUGACGUUAGCGGCGGACGGGUGAGUAACACGUGGAUAACCUACCUAUAAGACUGGGAUAACUUCGGGAAACCGGAGCUAAUACCGGAUAACAUGUUGAACCGCAUGGUUCAACAGUGAAAGACGGUCUUGCUGUCACUUAUAGAUGGAUCCGCGCCGCAUUAGCUAGUUGGUAAGGUAACGGCUUACCAAGGCAACGAUGCGUAGCCGACCUGAGAGGGUGAUCGGCCACACUGGAACUGAGACACGGUCCAGACUCCUACGGGAGGCAGCAGUAGGGAAUCGUCCGCAAUGGGCGAAAGCCUGACGGAGCAACGCCGCGUGAGUGAAGAAGGUCUUCGGAUCGUAAAACUCUGUUAUUAGGGAAGAACAAAUGUGUAAGUAACUAUGCACGUCUUGACGGUACCUAAUCAGAAAGCCACGGCUAACUACGUG